Molecule: ribosomal RNA, 497 nt
Filed under: uncultured bacterium
Lineage: Bacteria
Description: partial 16S ribosomal RNA
Rfam family: Bacterial small subunit ribosomal RNA
Source: RNAcentral
GAUGAACGCUGGCGGCGUGCCUAAUACAUGCAAGUCGAGCGAACGGACGAGAAGCUUGCUUCUCUGAUGUUAGCGGCGGACGGGUGAGUAACACGUGGAUAACCUACCUAUAAGACUGGGAUAACUUCGGGAAACCGUAGCUAAUACCGGAUAAUAUUUUGAACCGCAUGGCUCAAAAGUGAAAGACGGUCUUGCUGUCACUUAUAGAUGGAUCCGCGCUGCAUUAGCUAGUUGGUAAGGUAACGGCUUACCAAGGCAACGAUGCAUAGCCGACCUGAGAGGGUGAUCGGCCACACUGGAACUGAGACACGGUUCAGACUCCUACGGGAGGCAGCAGUAGGGAAUCUUCCGCAAUGGGCGAAAGCCUGACGGAGCAACGCCGCGUGAGUGAUGAAGGUCUUCGGAUCGUAAAACUCUGUUAUUAGGGAAGAACAUAUGUGUAAGUAACUGUGCACAUCUUGACGGUACCUAAUCAGAAAGCCACGGCUAACUACGUG